This 497-nucleotide ribosomal RNA is filed under the name uncultured bacterium. RNAcentral's name for it is "partial 16S ribosomal RNA". It matches the Rfam family "Bacterial small subunit ribosomal RNA", at positions 28 to 507 of the family's 1533-position model. The record is from RNAcentral.
GAUGAACGCUGGCGGCGUGCCUAAUACAUGCAAGUCGAGCGAACAGACGAGGAGCUUGCUCCUCUGACGUUAGCGGCGGACGGGUGAGUAACACGUGGAUAACCUACCUAUAAGACUGGGAUAACUUCGGGAAACCGGAGCUAAUACCGGAUAAUAUAUUGAACCGCAUGGUUCAAUAGUGAAAGACGGUUUUGCUGUCACUUAUAGAUGGAUCCGCGCCGCAUUAGCUAGUUGGUAAGGUAACGGCUUACCAAGGCAACGAUGCGUAGCCGACCUGAGAGGGUGAUCGGCCACCCUGGAACUGGGCCACGGUCCAGACUACUACGGGAGGCAGCAGUAGGGAAUCUUCCGCAAUGGGCGAAAGCUUGACGGAGCAACGCCGCGUGAGUGAUGAAGGUCUUCGGAUCGUAAAACUCUGUUAUUAGGGAAGAACAAAUGUGUAAGUAACUAUGCACGUCUUGACGGUACCUAAUCAGAAAGCCACGGCUAACUACGUG